CUUGCACCUAGAGGAGCAGGUGUGGCUGCUGUGUCACAUGUGCGUCAGUAGGUGGCAGAGAGGAGAGAGGCUAUGUCUAUGCUGUCUAUGCCGUAUUCUGACCUACGAAUAUCUGAAUGAUUAGUAGCCUAACAAU
Molecule: small nucleolar RNA, 136 nt
Organism: Grammomys surdaster
Lineage: Eukaryota; Metazoa; Chordata; Mammalia; Rodentia; Muridae
Product: small nucleolar RNA SNORA17
Exons: 1
Source: RefSeq, a predicted model, not a curated record